UACGAAGGGGGCUAGCGUUGCUCGGAAUUACUGGGCGUAAAGGGCGCGUAGGCGGCACUGUUAGUCAGGCGUGAAAGUCCUGGGCUCAACCUGGGAACUGCGCUCGAUACGGCAGAGCUAGAGGAUGGAAGAGGCUCGCGGAAUUCCCAGUGUAGAGGUGAAAUUCGUAGAUAUUGGGAAGAACACCGGUGGCGAAGGCGGCGAGCUGGUCCAUUACUGACGCUGAGGCGCGACAGCGUGGGGGAGCAAACAGG
RNAcentral lists this ribosomal RNA (254 nucleotides) under uncultured bacterium. Its description in RNAcentral is "partial 16S ribosomal RNA". It matches the Rfam family "Bacterial small subunit ribosomal RNA", at positions 524 to 776 of the family's 1533-position model. The record is from RNAcentral.